UCGACGCCAUGAAGUUGACAUUGUCGGUGAGGUCCUUCCAGGUACCUGCAACGCCGGGCACGGCAGCCUGGCCGCCGAGUUUGCCCUCGGUGCCGACUUCGCGCGCCACGCGCGUGACUUCCGCCGCGAAACCAUUGAGCUGAUCCACCAUCGUGUUGAUGGUGUUCUUAAGCGCGAGGAUUUCGCCUUUUACAUCGACCGUGAUUUUACGCGACAGAUCGCCUCGCGCGACGGCGGUUGUCACAUCGGCAAUAUUGCGGACCUGUGCGGUUAGGUUUCC
Molecule: unclassified non-coding RNA, 280 nt
Filed under: Hevea brasiliensis (rubber tree)
Lineage: Eukaryota; Viridiplantae; Streptophyta; Magnoliopsida; Malpighiales; Euphorbiaceae
Source: RNAcentral